GACGAACGCUGGCGGCGUGCUUAACACAUGCAAGUCGAACGGUGAAGGGAUCAGCUUGCUGGUUCUGGAUGAGUGGCGAACGGGUGAGUAACACGUGAGUAACCUGCCCCCUUCUUCUGGAUAACCGCAUGAAAGUGUGGCUAAUACGGGAUAUUCUGGGUCUGUCGCAUGAUGGGUCUGGGAAAGAUAUUGUUUCGGUGGGGGAUGGGCUCGCGGCCUAUCAGCUUGUUGGUGGGGUGAUGGCCUACCAAGGCGGUGACGGGUAGCCGGCCUGAGAGGGUGGACGGUCACACUGGGACUGAGACACGGCCCAGACUCCUACGGGAGGCAGCAGUGGGGAAUAUUGCACAAUGGGCGCAAGCCUGAUGCAGCGACGCCGCGUGAGGGAUGGAGGCCUUCGGGUUGUAAACCUCUUUCGCCAGUGAAGCAGGCCUGCUCCUUGUGGGUGGGGUUGACGGUAGCUGGAUAAGAAGCGCCGGCUAACUACGUGCCAGCAGCCGCGGUAUUACGUAGGGCGCGAGCGUUGUCCGGAAUUAUUGGGCGUAAAGAGCUCGUAGGCGGCUGGUCGCGUCUGUCGUGAAAUCCUCUGGCUUAACUGGGGGCUUGCGGUGGGUACGGGCCGUCUUGAGUGCGGUAGGGGAGACUGGUAACUCCUGUUGUUGCGGUGGAAGCUCUGCAUAUCUGGAAUAACACCUGUGGUGAAUGCUGUGCUCUGGGCUGUUUCUACUCGUAGUGUCAUGAUGUGGUGGUGUGAACUGGAUAUGAUACUGUGGUGUGCGUGUGCGUUGUUGAGUGUGUGAAGCUGGUUGUUGUGUCUGUGAAAAAAAAUAGAGUGGAUGUGUAUGUUGUUUUUUUUUAUGUUGUUGUGAUGUUUGCCUUUGUUUUUGUGAGUAUGUGUUGUGUGUUUUAUGUUGAUUUGUGUGUGCUGUUGUGUGUAUGUCUGUUUUGUGUUUUUACUUGGCAUGUUGCGCUUGGGUGAUAUGCGUGUCCUUGUUGGUGUGGUUUAGUUGUGAUUUGUUAAUGCUAGUGUUGUUGCUGUGUACCCUGCUCUACAUGUCAGAUGUG
RNAcentral lists this ribosomal RNA (1065 nucleotides) under uncultured Streptococcus sp. RNAcentral describes it as "bacterial SSU rRNA". The stretch from base 1 to 771 matches the Rfam family "Bacterial small subunit ribosomal RNA". The record is from RNAcentral. Lineage: Bacteria; Bacillati; Bacillota; Bacilli; Lactobacillales; Streptococcaceae.